GCAAGGUCUUCAGCGGAGCACGGAGGCAGAACUACAUCCUCAGUGGAGCAAGAUGGCAGAGUGAUGUCCUCAACCGAGCAGUAAGGUGGAGUGAUAUCUGAAGUGGAGCCUGGCAUAGUGACAUCCAUAGGUGAAGCAGGGAAGAAAAGCGGAGCUCUUGGCUGCACCGGGAGGUGGAGCAACAUCUUCAGCUGAACAGGGAUGCUGGGCGGCAUCCUCAAAUGAGCAGUUAAGCUGAACAACAUUCUCUGUCGACUCAGCAGACUGGACAAGAUCCACAGUGGAGGAGGGAGUAUGGGAGAUGGUUCCAGCCUGGUUAAAAGGCUCCUCCUUGACAUACCUCAUGAUGGAGUACAUCAUGUUGAGCCACUCCUGGUUGGAUCGAAUUAAGGUGCCCGUCGUCAUUUUUUCUUCUCUCUUUUCCUGGAGGGGAUGGAUUUGGAUCUGAACACUCACUAUCAGCUCGCGCAUCUCACUGCUGACAUCAUGGUGCUACUUAACAUUCUUCGCAGCACCCCCUCUGGAAAUGGAAAUGCGGGGUCCCGUCCCCCCCUCAGAUACAGAAUCCACCCCGUGAAUGUGUGUAUUGACGCCUCUACACAGACCAACGCUCCCUCCAGCUUUCAGUCUGAGGAUGAUGUCACCUUCUCUGAUCUGGGCUCUGACCAUUCUUCCCUCUUCUCACCUGUCAGUCCGCCAUCCUCUCAGUGGUCUCCUUAUUUCACCUUUGCUGACUAUCCCAUGUCCCCAGGACACACCCCAUUUUCUUCCCCCUACCGCUCUCCUCAAGAUUACGCACCCACCAGUCCUGUGAAUUUUCAAUAAAAUUACGUAUUACUCAUACUAGGUCUCCCUCAUGUUUAUUUCAUGUCAUUUUUAUCCACAACAUUGUACACUGGUAUUUGUUAAGG
This is a long non-coding RNA of Ictalurus punctatus (channel catfish), 911 nucleotides long. The record is from Ensembl. Lineage: Eukaryota; Metazoa; Chordata; Actinopteri; Siluriformes; Ictaluridae.